AGUAACGCGUGGGUAACCUGCCUCAUACAGGGGGAUAACAGUUAGAAAUGACUGCUAAUACCGCAUAAGCGCACAGUGCUGCAUGGCACAGUGUGAAAAACUCCGGUGGUAUGAGAUGGACCCGCGUCUGAUUAGCUAGUUGGUGGGGUAACGGCCUACCAAGCGACGAUCAGUAGCCGCCUGAGAGGGUGACGGCCACAUUGGGACUGAGACACGGCCCAA
This 222-nucleotide ribosomal RNA is filed under the name uncultured bacterium. RNAcentral describes it as "partial 16S ribosomal RNA". It matches the Rfam family "Bacterial small subunit ribosomal RNA", at positions 109 to 334 of the family's 1533-position model. The record is from RNAcentral.